GUGCUCACUCCAGCAGCACAUACACUCAUAUUGGAACAAUGCAGAGAUGGUUAGCAUGGCCCCUGCGCAAGGAUGACAUGCAAAUUCAUGAAGCGUUCCUUAUUUUU
Phyllostomus discolor (pale spear-nosed bat) is the source of this 107-nucleotide small nuclear RNA. NCBI's taxonomy places the organism in Eukaryota, Metazoa, Chordata, Mammalia, Chiroptera, Phyllostomidae. The record is from RefSeq and is a predicted model, not a curated record.